GCAAAACCCAAAUGGAAUCCAAAGAGGACGAAGCCUCCCAAAGCGGAGCAAACCCAUGGAAAUUCAGUCCAUUUCAAGCAAAGAUUUAGUUUUGUUAAGGCUUCCGGUGAAAUCCCUUUUACAAUUCAGGGUGCAGAUAUCUGGGUUAUGACGGAGUAUGGAGUUGAAGAAUCUAGGACAAAGUUGUUUACUAUCAAGUCUCAUAAUGAAUUUAUACCAUGUUUGUAGGGUUUGCCCCUUUUUUGUCAAAUGGUGACAUUUUGCUUGAAAUUGAAUCACGUUUGGGGAAAUAUAAUCCAUAGAAUGACUCGAUCAAAUAUCUAGAGGUUACUAACUUUGCUCCAUAUGUUGAGGCAGAAAUCUACGUUAAAAGCCUAGUUUAUCUCCUUUUUUAGAAGUUACUAUGCCUGCAAUAGCAACGGAGGUUCAAAUACUCGGAUGAAGACACCCAUGUGACUAAUAACCUGAUACUUGCGUUGGUCGGUGUGA
Molecule: unclassified non-coding RNA, 489 nt
Filed under: Hevea brasiliensis (rubber tree)
Lineage: Eukaryota; Viridiplantae; Streptophyta; Magnoliopsida; Malpighiales; Euphorbiaceae
Source: RNAcentral